RNAcentral lists this ribosomal RNA (254 nucleotides) under uncultured bacterium. Its description in RNAcentral is "partial 16S ribosomal RNA". It matches the Rfam family "Bacterial small subunit ribosomal RNA", at positions 524 to 776 of the family's 1533-position model. The record is from RNAcentral.
UACGUAGGGAGCGAGCGUUGUCCGGAUUCAUUGGGCGUAAAGAGCUCGUAGGCGGCUUGUUAAGUCGGAUGUGAAACCUCCAGGCUCAACCUGGAGUCGCCAUCCGAUACUGCCAUGGCUAGAGUCCGGUAGGGGCCCACGGAAUUCCUGGUGUAGCGGUGAAAUGCGCAGAUAUCAGGAGGAACACCGAUGGCGAAGGCAGUGGGCUGGGCCGGCACUGACGCUGAGGAGCGAAAGCGUGGGGAGCGAACAGG